RNAcentral lists this long non-coding RNA (1077 nucleotides) under Olea europaea (common olive). RNAcentral describes it as "long non-coding RNA (OEUR_LNC011726)". Lineage: Eukaryota; Viridiplantae; Streptophyta; Magnoliopsida; Lamiales; Oleaceae. The record is from RNAcentral.
UCCCUUGGCAGGUUUGGUUGGCUUUGCCUGCGUUUCAGCACUUUUCUGGAAUUCGGUUAAUGACUCCGCCACAUCAAUGGCUUCAUCCAUUGUCUUAACUCCCCGACGCUGCAGUUCCUGUCUUACCCAAUUUGCACAACCAUCCAAGAAAUAGAACAAUAACACAUCAUUAGGCAUGCUAGGAAUCUGGAGCAUGAGGGUCGUGAAUUCCUUGACGUAUUCACAAAUAGUGCUCUUGUGCUUCAAUUCCUGCAGCUUCUUACGGUCCUCGUAUACAACAUUUUCGGCAUAAAACUGCCUUUUCAGCUCUUUCUUAAACUUGUCCCAGGUUUCAACUCUUUUACGCAACUUCAGCCAGCUUGUGUCUCCACCAUAACGCAACUGUAUCUGAAAGGUGCAUAGUUGCUGUUCGAACUUUCAUCCCUCCUCCUAGGAUAUUCACCCUUUCGAAAUAAACUUCCAUUUGCCACAAGAAAUUUUCUACAUCCUUUGCAUCUCAUUUUUCCUCAAACAUUUUUGGCUUAGGAUAUUUGAUUCUAGGAGCUGCAACUGCAGCAGUACCUCCACUCGACCCUGCAGUGGACUGCUUGUACAUAUCCAGCUUCCGACUCAUUUUGUCAAUCAAAGUUGACAAUACAUUCACCUGGUUCUGCGUGGCAGUCACAGAAUCAAGCGCUUCAUUUUGCAGUCGACCAAGGUCUUCUUCUCUGGGUGCUACUGGAAAUUGUAGGUUGCUCAUAUUUUUUUCUCUUGAUGCCCAGUUGGUUAUGUUUUCCUUGUAGGACUUUAAUGAGUAUUCUAGAUGAUUAUGUUGAUGGCUACUAGUCAUAAGAGAUGUUAGAAUCUCAGGUAAUUGUUACACAUUGUCUUCUUCUUGCCAACUCUUUUUACUAGAUUUAUUUCAAAAAUGAGUUUCUUCUUGAACUAAAUAUCUUGCCAAAACUGUACAUCCAACUUUACGAGGUAUUGUGUCCAUAAAAGUGUUUUCUUCACCUGGUUUAUAAUCUGUUCAUGGUCAUGGAUUUUCUGCAGAAAGUAUACAAGAAUCAAUUUUUUUUUUUUUUUUUUUUUUAACUA